GACCACUUCCGUCAGGCCAUCACA
This 24-nucleotide non-coding RNA is filed under the name Arabidopsis thaliana (thale cress). Lineage: Eukaryota; Viridiplantae; Streptophyta; Magnoliopsida; Brassicales; Brassicaceae. The record is from RNAcentral.